Long non-coding RNA from Pseudophryne corroboree (corroboree frog), 1606 nucleotides. RefSeq lists it as uncharacterized. The record is from RefSeq and is a predicted model, not a curated record. The transcript is spliced from 5 exons. Lineage: Eukaryota; Metazoa; Chordata; Amphibia; Anura; Myobatrachidae.
UCCAUAGUAACCGGAAGUGACGCGAGGUGUGUGCUGGUGUCUAUGGAAACCGACUGACGUGAGUAUGGUCAGGACGGAUAUCCUGUAACACCUCCAGCUGAGCGGAAGCGGCCUGCGGGGAGCGGGGGACGCCCGGUCCCGGUGCUGCACUCAUCAUAUAAAGGCAUCUUCCGGACCAGGAAGAGUGAAUACUUACUGAAGAUACUGCCCAGGGAGGAUCAUUUUUUUCAUAUGUUCACCAUUAUAAAGAAACCGUCAUAUAGGCAUCUUCUGGAUGAUGUGAUCUCCUACAUGAAUAGUGAAUAUCGACUGAAGACGCUGUCUGCAUUAGAGGACACAUUGCUUCAGAGGUUCCACAUUGUGAGAAACCAUCAAUUAGAUCCAAAACCAAAACACGAAAAGUGCCCACCGCACAUCUCUAAUACAGAGCCAAUGAUACAUGGGCGACCCAGGCUGGGUCUUUGAAAAAGCUGUCUAAGGACAGCGAAACGCAUCAGUCCUGCUCCUCUUUGGUCUAAGGGACUCUGUGGACUCCGAUUCCAUUUACCAUCCAUUGGACGAUCUGGGUCACUUCUGGUCCAAACCACAAAGGUUAAAGGGUACUCCAUUAAUCGUGCUGUGAACCACUGUCAUCUUGGUGAAAUCCUGCAACAAAAGGCUCAACACGAGGAGGAUUCUUCCCUUCAUAAAUACCUUGGGACCGGUAACUAUUUAAAACACCUGGGACCAUUGUCACUGGUCCGUGACCACAUAUAUAUAUGGACUGUAGCCCACAGAACUGCAUAAAAAAGUCCCUGAUAUUUGACCUUGGAAAGAGGACACUAUAUGAAUGCUGCAUGUUAUAAUUUUCUAUGCUGUUUAAACAAUAACGCAUAUGCAAAUUUCUGUCUUGGAAUGUCUAAGUAACAAAACUUCAGGAGUUAACAAACAUCUUUUUAUCAAUUUUAAAAUAAAUGAGGGUUUUUAGAUUACCUUGUUGUUUAUAAUUCACUGUAUAAUUGAUCAGAGUUAGCACUGUUUAUUUUCUUUGUCUGUUUUGUGUAUGCAUUUUGGAGAGUGACUACCUCCAUAAAAACAGCUGAUAGGAAAAUCAACUCAGAGUAGCGCCUGUUUAGCUACAUUUCGAUAUAUCCUUUUUUGCUGGGCACUGAACAACCUACCUCAGGCACCGAGGAUCCGGGCAACCAGAGGUCCAUAUACUCGUGAACAAUUGCAGCAUGCCAUCCGGCUCCUGUUUAUCAAUUUUGGAAGAGACAGAUACACACAUUAUGGGAGCUACACUCUUGGAUCAUCAUUUGUGUUAUCCAACAUUAAGGACACUAUCUUAUUAUAUUUAUUAUCACUGUUCACUGUCCACCACAAAAUCCUCCUACAGUUGGAGAGUGGUCAUUUGUAUGACCGUCUGCUUUCUUUGUAGUAGCGCUAUUUUACCAAAAUAUACCAUGGUUUUAUUUCACCACCUAAAGAUAAAGAUUACCUCACCCAUUGGAAGUCUACCAAUUAAAUGAGCUCCUUGUGAAUUAUGCUUUCUAUUAAUUUUCCCUGAUGAAGUCCUUUUAAGGGCGAAACGCGUCGGAAUCAGAACUCUCUUCUUAAAGGACAACAA